CAGCAGCCGCGGGAAAACGUAGGUGGCAAGCGUUGUCCGGAAUUAUUGGGCGUAAAGCGCGCGCAGGUGGUUUAAUAAGUCUGAUGUGAAAGCCCACGGCUCAACCGUGGAGGGUCAUUGGAAACUGUUAAACUUGAGUGCAGGAGAGAAAAGUGGAAUUCCUAGUGUAGCGGUGAAAUGCGUAGAGAUUAGGAGGAACACCAGUGGCGAAGGCGGCUUUUUGGCCUGUAACUGACGCUGAGGCGCGAAAGCGUGGGGAGCAAACAGGAUUAGAUACCCCUGUAGUCCCUGUCUCUUAUAU
RNAcentral lists this ribosomal RNA (301 nucleotides) under uncultured bacterium. RNAcentral describes it as "partial 16S ribosomal RNA". It matches the Rfam family "Bacterial small subunit ribosomal RNA", at positions 509 to 809 of the family's 1533-position model. The record is from RNAcentral.